CCUACGGGAUGCAGCAGUGGGGAAUAUUGGGCAAUGGACGCAAGUCUGACCCAGCAACGCCGCGUGAAGGAAGAAGGCUUUCGGGUUGUAAACUUCUUUUAAGGGGGAAGAGCAGAAGACGGUACCCCUUGAAUAAGCCACGGCUAACUACGUGACAGCAGCCGCGGUAAUACGUAGGUGGCAAGCGUUGUCCGGCAUUACUGGGUGUCAAGGUCGUGCAGCCGGAGAGACAAGUCAUAGGUGAAAUCCACGGGCUCAACCCGUGAACUGCCUUUGAAACUGGUUCCCUUGAGUGUCAGAGAGGUAAUCGGAAUUCCUAGUGUAGCGGUGAAAUGCGUAGAUAUUAGGAAGAACACCAGUGGCGAAGGCGGAUUACUGGACGAUAACUGACGGUGAGGCGCGAAAGCGUGGGGAGCAAACAGGAUUAGAUACCCGGGUAGUC
This 442-nucleotide ribosomal RNA is filed under the name uncultured bacterium. Its description in RNAcentral is "partial 16S ribosomal RNA". It matches the Rfam family "Bacterial small subunit ribosomal RNA", at positions 338 to 795 of the family's 1533-position model. The record is from RNAcentral.